CACGUAGGUUCCGAGCGUUAUCCGGAUUUACUGGGCGUAAAGCGCGUUCAGGCGGUUUGGCAAGUCGGGCAUGAAAUCUCUCGGCUCAACCGGGAGAGGUUGUCCGAUACUGCUGGACUUGAGGGCAGUAGAGGGUGGUGGAAUUCCGGGUGUAGUGGUGAAAUGCGUAGAUAUCCGGAGGAACACCAGUGGCGAAAGCGGCCACCUGGACUGCACCUGACGCUGACACGCGAAAGCUAGGGGAGCGAACGGG
RNAcentral lists this ribosomal RNA (253 nucleotides) under uncultured bacterium. RNAcentral's name for it is "partial 16S ribosomal RNA". It matches the Rfam family "Bacterial small subunit ribosomal RNA", at positions 524 to 776 of the family's 1533-position model. The record is from RNAcentral.